ACGGGUGAGUAACACGUGGGUAACCUGCCCUUAAGUGGGGGAUAACAUUUGGAAACAGAUGCUAAUACCGCAUAAAUCCAAGAACCGCAUGGUCUUGGCUGAAAGAUGGCGUAAGCUAUCGCUUUUGGAUGGACCCGCGGCGUAUUAACUAGUUGGUGAGGUAACGGCUCACCAAGGCAAUGAUACGUAGCCGAACUGAGAGGUUGAUCGGCCACAUUGGGACUGAGACACGGCCCAAACUCCUACGGGAGGCAGCAUG
RNAcentral lists this ribosomal RNA (259 nucleotides) under uncultured bacterium. Its description in RNAcentral is "partial 16S ribosomal RNA". It matches the Rfam family "Bacterial small subunit ribosomal RNA", at positions 102 to 353 of the family's 1533-position model. The record is from RNAcentral.